UGGGGAAUUUUGGACAAUGGGGGCAACCCUGAUCCAGCAAUGCCGCGUGUGUGAAGAAGGCCUUCGGGUUGUAAAGCACUUUUGUCCGGAAAGAAAACGUCGUGGUUAAUACCCGUGGCGGCUGACGGUACCGGAAGAAUAAGCACCGGCUAACUACGUGCCAGCAGCCGCGGUAAUACGUAGGGUGCAAGCGUUAAUCGGAAUUACUGGGCGUAAAGCGUGCGCAGGCGGUCCGCUAAGACAGAUGUGAAAUCCCCGGGCUUAACCUGGGAACUGCAUUUGUGACUGGCGGGCUAGAGUAUGGCAGAGGGGGGUAGAAUUCCACGUGUAGCAGUGAAAUGCGUAGAGAUGUGGGGGAAUACCGAUGGCGAAGGCAGCCCCCUGGGCCAAUACUGACGCUCAUGCACGAAAGCGUGGGGGAGCAAACAGGAUUAGAUACCCUGGUAGUCCACGCCCUAAACGAUGUCAACUAGUUGUCGGGUCUUCAUUGACUUGGUAACGUAGCUAACGCGUGAAGUUGACCGCCUGGGGAGUACGGUCGCAAGAUUAAAAACUCAAAUGAAUU
RNAcentral lists this ribosomal RNA (565 nucleotides) under uncultured bacterium. RNAcentral's name for it is "partial 16S ribosomal RNA". It matches the Rfam family "Bacterial small subunit ribosomal RNA", at positions 355 to 911 of the family's 1533-position model. The record is from RNAcentral.